RNAcentral lists this ribosomal RNA (494 nucleotides) under uncultured bacterium. RNAcentral describes it as "partial 16S ribosomal RNA". It matches the Rfam family "Bacterial small subunit ribosomal RNA", at positions 28 to 507 of the family's 1533-position model. The record is from RNAcentral.
GACGAACGCUGGCGGCGUGCUUAACACAUGCAAGUCGAACGGUGAAGCGCCUUCCUUUUUGGUGGGUGUGGAUGAGUGGCGAACGGGUGAGUAAUACGUGAGUAACCUGCCCCCUUCUUCUGGAUAACCGCAUGAAAGUGUGGCUAAUACGGGAUAUUCUGGGUCUGUCGCAUGAUGGGUCUGGGAAAGAUAUUGUUUCGGUGGGGGAUGGGCUCGCGGCCUAUCAGCUUGUUGGUGGGGUGAUGGCCUACCAAGGCGGUGACGGGUAGCCGGCCUGAGAGGGUGGACGGUCACACUGGGACUGAGACACGGCCCAGACUCCUACGGGAGGCAGCAGGGGGGAAUAUUGCACAAUGGGCGCAAGCCUGAUGCAGCGACGCCGCGUGAGGGAUGGAGGCCUUCGGGUUGUGAACCUCUUUCGCCAGUGAAGCAGGCCUGCCUCGUUUGUGGGUGGGUUGACGGUAGCUGGAUAAGAAGCGCCGGCUAACUACGUG